GGCGGUAUAGCUUAGUGGUAGAGUACAUGCUUAACAGGCAUGUGGUCCUGUGUUAAAUGCCCAGUACCUCUA
This 72-nucleotide transfer RNA is filed under the name Camelus bactrianus (Bactrian camel). It matches the Rfam family "tRNA". From Rfam's summary of the family: Transfer RNA (tRNA) molecules are approximately 80 nucleotides in length. Their secondary structure includes four short double-helical elements and three loops (D, anti-codon, and T loops). Lineage: Eukaryota; Metazoa; Chordata; Mammalia; Artiodactyla; Camelidae. RNAcentral also lists the same sequence under 1 other name. The record is from Rfam by way of RNAcentral.